GAUGAAGAACGCAGCGAAAUGCGAUAAGUAAUGUGAAUUGCAGAAUUCAGUGAAUCAUCGAAUCUUUGAACGCACAUUGCGCCCUCUGGUAUUCCGGGGGGCAUGCCUGUUCGAGCGUCAUUAUAACCACUCAAGCUCUCGCUUGGUAUUGGGGUUCGCGGUUCCGCGGCCCCUAAAAUCAGUGGCGGUGCCUGUCGGCUCUACGCGUAGUAAUACUCCUCGCGAUUGAGUCCGGCAGGUCUACUUGCCAGCAACCCCCAAUUUUUACAGGUUGACCUCGGAUCAGGUAGGGAUACCCGCUGAACUUAAGCAUAUCAAUAAGCGGAGGA
Molecule: unclassified non-coding RNA, 329 nt
Filed under: soil metagenome
Description: partial contains 5.8S ribosomal RNA, internal transcribed spacer 2, and large subunit ribosomal RNA
Rfam family: 5.8S ribosomal RNA (bases 1-120)
Source: RNAcentral